Molecule: non-coding RNA, 74 nt
Organism: Clostridium sp. CAG:1000
Lineage: Bacteria; Bacillati; Bacillota; Clostridia; Eubacteriales; Clostridiaceae
Source: Rfam
CUUUCUCUACAACCGCAUUGAAGAGGUUUAAUAAAAAGAAUAUUCUUACCUCAAGAGCGAGUCUUAUUGAAGGA